GAGAAUAGUAUGGUCUGGAACCUUCCCAGCACCAGCCAACAAACGGCUGCACACCCCUUUCCUCCCAGAAGUAGAAGGGGAAAGGACCAGUUAGGCAUUCUAGAAAAAGGCCUACAGCAUCUAUGCCCUUUUACUCAGCAAAACUCCUAUUAGGCCUAUACUCCAAGGAGAUCAGGGAAAGAGGAAAAGGACCCACAUAUACAAAAAUAUUUACAGAAGCUCUUUGUGGUGGCAAAACACUGGAAGCUAAAGACAUGCCCAUCAAUUAGGGAAUGACUGAACAAACUAUGGCACAUGAAUGUAGUGGAAUACCAUUGUAUAGGGUGAAAGGGUUGGUUUCAGAGAAAAUUAGAAAGACUUACAUGAAUUGUUGUAGGUGGAAGUGAGCAGAGCCAGAACAGUUUCUCCAAUAACAAUAUUGUAAAGACAAACAACUUUGAAAUAAUUAAGAACUCUGAUCAACCACAGUUCUAGAGGACUGAUAACUCAUUCUGCCCACUUCUUGACAGAGAUGAUAAACAACUCACUUCUGAGUGAGAAAUAGUUUUUGAACGUAUCCAAUGUGGGAAUUUGUUUUGCUUGACUAUGCAUGUUUGCUGCAUUUUCCUAAUGAGGCAGGAGAAGUAGAAGAGAGAGAAAAUAGUUUUUUGUUCUAUGAAAAAAAAAAUUAAAAAAGAAAAUAACGGUCAGCUCAGGGCUGUAGAUUUGGCCUAACUGGAUAAUUCCAUUUCCUUUAGGAGUGAUCCAGAGGUGAUCUUUCCACUGUACCAUCCUACCUCCCAUAUGUGGGAAGGAAGAGGCACAAGGGAUGGGUAGGACUCAGAUAAGCAAGGGAAAGGAGGGAUUCCGUCUCCAGAGAACCCUGGCCCUCAUCAUCUCUCACCCGGACUUUUCAAGAGCCUCCUCCUUGGUCUCUCCCUGCCUCAAGUUUCUGCUCCAGCCAUUCUCAACAAUCUGCUAAGUGAUUUUCCCAAAGUGCUGGUCUGAUCAGUCCGUCCUUCCAUACAUUAAACUCUGGUGACUACGCAUUGCCUCUAGGAUCAUAUAAAUGUCCUCCCUUUGGCCUUUAAAGCCUGGCCCCACCUGCCUUUGCAGGCCUGUUAUGUAUUCAUCUCCUUGCCAUGCUUAGCCAAACCAGUGCCAUUCUUCAAGCAUAUACUCCAUCUCUAAUCUCUUUGCCUUUUCAAUGGCUGUUCCCUGUGUCUGGAAGGCAUUCUUGCCUCACCCAGUCUCUGAGAACCCUUUAAGUUUCAAAAACUUCCAAAACUCAGCACAAGCGUCAUCUCCACAAAGCCCUUCCUGAUUUCCCUAGCUUCUAGUGACCUCUCUCUUCCACCCCCCAAUUACCUUAUAUUUAUUUCACAUUUAUUCUGGAUAUAUACACACACACACAUAUAUACAUACAUAUAUAUGUGUAUAUACAUGCAUACAUACACACACACAUAUACACACUUAAAUGUUAAUGUAUACAUAUGAUCUCUUGAUGGAUAGAGUGAAAACAAACUAUUUUAAACGUGUCUCUGUGCUUCACACAGUGCCUGGGCCAGAGCAGGUACUUAAUCAAUGUGACUGAAUAAGAAGCAGCCCCACACAGUGGGUAUCACACUAACCUUGGAGCCUGGAAGACCUGAGUUCAGGUUCUCCCCUAACACAUACUGUGAACAUGAACAAGUCCUUCAACCUCUCAGUGUUCCUGACAGCUCUCUAAGAUUAUAAAUUACAACGGGUUGGCAAAUCUUCACUGAUGGAGAUGCAUGUCCAGUACGUGGACACUAUCUACCCUGGGAACAAGUGAAAUCACAGGUCUGGACUCCCUUCCCCCAAAUAAUGAUGUCAAUGGUCAGCACCUUCACAAACAGAGUGCCGGCACUCCAGCUCCAAUGUCCCUGACUUUACACCGGUGAUUCCCCUGUGCCCGGUAGGUAGGUUUUGAUUAGCCUUGGGGCAAUCUGGGUAUUACUCUAAAUUAUUAUUAUUUUUAAGGUGAUGUAAACACUGUGCUUGUUUUGUAUUUUCUUGGUUACCUCUUGGGAGGGGAAAGGUAGUGAGCUAAGUGAUUUCAAAGAAAUGUGGACCUACAACUCACAGUUUCAUCAGAGGGAUUCCCACUUGGGAGUUUUGUGAGCCUAGGGUGAUCAAGGAGACCAAUAAAAUCCAUCUAGCUGAGCAUAUUCCAGAAUUUACUUUGGAGAGUCCUAGAUGGGAGAUACCAGGGUCAGGAGGGUUUUAGAUACUCUAACCUAGAGAGAAUCAGGCCCAUCCACACUGGGCCGGAGGGACAAAAGCCAGAUGGAAUACUGAGUCACUUAGGACUGGGCAAUCCCCACAUCCCCUUUUUUAAAUUUCUCAAAUUCCUUUGCCCUACUGAAUGGGCAUAUUCUCAUUAACUUUGUGAAUAAACUUGAGAAAA
Molecule: non-coding RNA, 2410 nt
Organism: Phascolarctos cinereus (koala)
Lineage: Eukaryota; Metazoa; Chordata; Mammalia; Diprotodontia; Phascolarctidae
Source: RefSeq, a predicted model, not a curated record